Misgurnus anguillicaudatus (oriental weatherfish) is the source of this 4097-nucleotide non-coding RNA. NCBI's taxonomy places the organism in Eukaryota, Metazoa, Chordata, Actinopteri, Cypriniformes, Cobitidae. The record is from RefSeq and is a predicted model, not a curated record.
GGGCACUACACUCUAAAAAAAAAAGGUUCCUUGAGGUUCUAUAUAGAACCGUGGGGUUCUAUACUUGGCCAAUAGAACCUUUUACCAAAAAACGGGUUCCAUAUAGAACCCUUGGAAGGCAAAGAACCAUUUUUAUUAAAAUGGUUCUAUAAUUCACGUUUUGUGACUGAAGUGUAAACUAAAGAUUACACAAUAAUUGCAGACCUACACAACUCAUUUACAAACCUACACAACUCAUUCACAAACCUUUUUGUGUCAAUAGGUUGUGGUCAAAUAAAGAGAGAGUCAACAAAUAGGCUACUAAUAUUUAGUGUACACUGUAAAAAAUCCAACUAAUGAAAUGUUGGACGGGCAAAAAUAUAUAAGUUAAACCAAUUUUUUUGUUUGAGCUAGUUGAGAAGAUCUGUGUUUAAAAUAUUAAAUGAAUGGUUAUUUUCAAAUCCAGUCAACAUUCAGAAUGGCUAGUGUUGACUGAACUAAUUAAGACAAAUCAGGUAAAUAUGUGGACUUAUGACAGCUAUGUUUCCUGACAACAAAAUGCUCAUAAUAUUACUGUUAUUUGGUCACAAAAUGUAAUUGUAAGAGUUGUUCAGGCGUGAAUGUAUGUGCUUAAAGUUUAAAUAUGCGGUCGGUUAAUAAAGAAUAGCGUCUAUUUAAAAAUGUGCUCGGACACUUUCGGACGUAGAUGAGCUCCAUAUGAGCUCCAGAAAAUCACAGACACUUAAGCGCUCACACCCCGCCCAGCGCAGCCUCUCCUCGGCAAGCCCAUCAGACUGCUGGCUCUGAUAUCUCUGUGGCGUUUAAACAUGUGAUUUAAUUCAUUUUGAUUUCUCAUACUUAACAAUGAAAGGGUUAUGUUUUAAAUAAUAUUUUAGGAUUGCACUUAAUUGAUAUUGCUGUUGAGUGAUGUUUCAUAUCUUUUACAUUUGUUAUAACCGGACUGCAUGCGAAUUUGAACUUCAGAGCUGAGGAAGCGGGUGGAGAAAUAGUCCCAAUAUCAUAACAAUCUUAAAUAAAACUUCUAAAUAUGCCCGUGUGUGUACCCGUGUGCGCGCGCGCGUGCGCGCGACCCGCUCACGCGCGCGUGUGUAUGUACAGUAUGUGCGUGAGUUUUUAAUUUAAAAUGUCUUAACUUAACUCGGAAGGAUCUGAAUGACAGGUCAUUUCAUCUGAGAUCAUUCCGCAUGUAACAGCCGGAAUCACUCACUGUUUCCCACAACGACACAAGUCAUCAGCCGUUUCCUCAAGGUCACGUCAGAGGGGUGGUGAUGUGGAGAGGCAGACCAGACCACCACCAUACGCGAAGAUGAGCCUCGAGGCUUGACAGUUAUUUUUUUCAAACUGAGGAGUUCGGACUCCGGACCGGCAUUUCUGCUUGUUUGUACCCUGAGGUAAGUAAACUUUCUACAUUUUUGAAACGAUAUUACUGAAAUAUUUAGUAUAAUUAGUUAAUAUUUAUUUUGUUAGAGUAGGUCUUGUGCUAAAUAGUGAUACUAGAAGCUACAUUUAUAAUAUUAUUUACCUCAGUUAAAAAAUACUGCUGGUAUAAAGCACUGACGGGCUUCGUCAACCGUCAGUUAUAAAAGCUCUGUUAAAUACAUUUUGUUCCUGGUUUUAAUGAAUUACGUUACAGUCCUGCUUUAUUUCUUUGUCAUUUUCAAUUAAAUUGCCAAGCACAAUAAGACAGCUGUGUUGUAAGGAGACGAAAUUCGAGACAGGGGUGUUUUCAAUGAAGCGCGUGGUCAAAGGAACCGGGUGGAAGACGGUGGAAGGGAAAUUAUAUGUAAAUGUUUGUCGCAGUUUUACACAUAUUCCGUGAGUAUUUUUCGCUUGUUCACGAGUGUUUGAUCAGGGUUGGAGCUAAACCUUGAAGGAAAGUGGAAACUGCUGGCCACAGUUAAGAACGUUCUGCUGGUCUGUAUUAUAAAUGCACGAUUGCAGUGCAGCGUUUGUAUCCGCAAGUCUAGAUAUGCAUGUUUUCUGUGAUGCACACAAUUAAUUAAUGUGAUGGUAGCUGUUAAGACACUUACAUUUAACAUUCAAAUGUUUUAAAAACCAAACGUGUUCAGGUUUUUAUGUGUAUUUGGUUUGUGAAGUGUAAUUUUUUUUUCCUCUCCCUCACAGAUAACCAUGGUUAAUAAAUGGUCAGACACGCCACUGGCUUUAAAAUAUAAACCCCAUUGAUGCAAAAAGGAGCUGCAUGGAAUGACAAUGUGGUUUGGAACAGACUUGGUGAAGAACAUGGAAACAUCAUCAGGAGUGCAAAAGAAGGAAGUAAAAAACAUCUCUACGCCAAUCUCAUUGGAGAGGAAACCACAGAAGGUCUGGUGAGGAAUGCUGCACUUAUGUUAUUGCAAACAUUAUUUCAAGAAAAUCCCAGCUUCCUUUACUGUGUAAAUAGUGAACCCAAAGGUCCCACACCAACCAUAGUGUUCAACGGCUCUCCUGAUCUUUUCAAAUCUGAAUGUAUCAACUUUAUAAUGGACAAUGUGAACUUAAUAUGUGGAAGACAUUGACAUCACAGGCUGUGGAAUGACUGUGUCACAGGUCGGAGAAGCGGACCGCCCCUGUCGCGGAUCACGCUCCUCCUAGUUCCACCUCGAGGAGGUCCCAAAGCACCCCAAUGACCAGACAAACCAGAGGGGGAGUAUUACGGGGCCAGGGACGUUGGAGGGGUUUCCACGUGACUCCAGCUGGAACACCGCUACAGAGCGUAUCUGGGUGGGUUGGGCACACACCGUCGCGGCGGCCCCUGAUGGCAUCCACAAGGGUCCAAGACCCUCCUAAGCUCCUAGCCGUAGCAGAACUACGUAUUUCAGCACCCGAAGGACUAACAACCCAGCCGGCAUCUGCAGCUUAUAUCCAACGCGAUCAAACUUCACUCUGACAAGUAACUUCCUAUACACAACCACGCCGUCCUUUCGCCCGGACCAGCCCCGCACUCUUUCCGCCCGCUACCUAGCGGUUGCCGGAUCAGCAGAGCCUGCGGACUCUUCGGAGGCUGGUCUUUGUUGUGCUGCCCAAGGCGGAAGUUGACUCGCCCGAAAAUCGAACCUUCCAGUAACUACUACCUUCUCUCUAUAUAUCCUCCUCCCAGGCGUGGCUCCCCCAACCAUCGCUCGCCACAUCACUCACACAGCUGUGCCUUGUUUCAGCGAGUGCGGGGAUUCCCGGGGAACCCUGAAGUGCCGGUGUCUGUACAAACCGGUCCGGGCGGAACCUCUUCACUCUCCUUUUGGUUCCGCCCCGCAUAGUCACUCUGUGACAACUGCUUGCGUUUUUUUUUCUCUUCAAUGUUCAAUACCCUUUUGCCAUUAAGCACACAGUGACUUUAAUUUAUAAAAUAUAUGCUUAAGUUUUAAUACCUGUACAAAACAAAUGUACAAUCAACUUGUGUUAAUUGUCAUUCUAUUUAAUAGAUUGUUCAUGAAUUGUCUUUAAAUGCAUUGUGAUUUCGGUAACACUUUACAAUAAAGUUCAUUAGUUAACAUUAGUUAAUGUAUUAACUAACUUGAACAAACCAUAAGCAAUACAUUUGUUACAGUAUUUAUUCAUCUUUGUUAAUAUUAGUUAAUAAAAAUUUAAGCUUUAAUUGCUUGUUCAUGUUAGUUCAGAGGGCAUUAACUAAUGUUAACAAGAUUUUAAUAAAGUAAAUUGUUGAAAUUAACAUUAACAAAGAUUAAUAAAGGCUGUAUAAGUGCAGUUCAUUAUUAGUUCAUGUUAACUAAUGUAGCUAACUAAUGUUAACUAAUGAACCUUAUUGUAAAGUGUUACCGUGAUUUCUUUUCAUCAUUUCAGACACAUGUAAAAGUUACAAAAAAUUAAUACUGCAUAUACUGUACAGUAUCUAUGCGUAAGGGAAAUAACUUAAACAAAAUUUUUAAUGUAUAGUGUAAUUAAGAGUUUAGCUGUUUAAUACAGAGAUGCAAUUUAUUUAUAUAUAUUAUUUAUAUAUAAACGUAUGUAUGUUUAUUAAAAAGUGAAAAUGCUUAAUGGAAAUAAUUAAAUAACUAAAUGGUUGAAUGUAAUGAGACAUUUUAAAUGUAAACUAAAGUUUUGCUGUCUAAUACAGAAUAAAGAGAUGUGAUUUUAAGUAA